Molecule: ribosomal RNA, 2289 nt
Filed under: Triticum aestivum (bread wheat)
Lineage: Eukaryota; Viridiplantae; Streptophyta; Magnoliopsida; Poales; Poaceae
Description: partial small subunit ribosomal RNA
Source: RNAcentral
AUGGCCCAGCAAGGUGACGAUGGUGACAUGAUGUUGAUGACUGAACUCGUGGACGAGGAGGAUCCAGUUCUUCGAGUGCCGGCUAAAGAAAUUGUCGCGCUCGUGGAAGAAAAAGUUCAUCUUCAUGAUCAUGAUUCGGAAACUCGUGUCGAUACUACAGAUGUGGGGGGUGAUUCCGAAACUUACGACGAUGUCAUGGGCAUAAUUGCUAACUUUGCUGGAGCGGAAGCAGCGAUUGCUGCAUGCGCUCGGCCAUGGAGAAGCAGUAUCCGUGUGACGCGUCCAGAAAAAUCAAAGACGUACGCCGCGCCGGAAGUCCACGAAGAAACAACAGACAAAAGUGCAACCGUUGUAACUUGUGUCGAAAGUAAUGACACUGGGGAUACGUCUUCUAGCACGAGCGUGAGGAUGGACCUGGGUAUAUCGAGUGGAUCCCUGUUGAUGAGCUCUAGCGCAAGCAUGAAGAAGCAUGGAGCAGAGAUCACGUCGUGGCUCGAAGGCGAUGGGCGCGGUAGCGUUGCAUGCAACCCAGGAACGGGCGCACCAGGCGAGCGCAUAACAGGCUCGUCGCCUCGUUACUCAGCCAUCAAUGUUCGACGCAGUGGUCCAACUGAUGGAACACACGUGGGAACCGAGCCAGAAACCGGAGAAGACCCGGCUGGACGUGGUUCAAGUGACCAGCAGCAGGGACGCAUCCCACUUGGGCGUGGUCCAAGAAAAUGCUGUAGCAUUAAGGAAGGACAGGGCUCACGUGGGGAUGUGCCUCAUGUUUCAUACAUGGUGGCACCUGAAAGUUUUCCAAGGGGAAAAGAUGCAGCGGUAGUAUCACUUGGUGGCCAACCAGCAAGCAAGUCUGCUACUCUACAUGUCAGCCCAGAAGCGAGCGUCAGUGGUGGCUCGCGGUUGCUAGCAGAGUUGUACGUGGAAGAAGAUGCCACUUCGGCACCUACAUUGCCUCCAAAAGCACUGGAGGAAAGGGCACCAUCACCUGCACCAAUACAUCUACAGCCAGUGUUACACCCAUAUCUGGAGAAUACUCUUCGGACGCUUGACCCGGUAAAGGUGAAAAGGAGUGGGCGACGGUGUCUAGUAAGCCCUGAGGAACCGAUGGAAUUUGCGGACGCAAAUACAAAGAAGUGUUGGCGUCAUGCUAUGGAAGAAGAGUUGGGGUCGAUCCAUGACAAUAAUACAUGGGAGCUUGUGGAUCUUUCCAACAAUGAAAAGGCGAUAGAGCUCAAGUGGAAAUUUAAGGUCAGGAAAGAUGUUGAAGGGUGCAUGAACCACAAAGUGAGGUUUGUGGCCAAAGAGUAUGUGCAAGAGGAAAGUAUGGACUUCGAAGAAGUGUUCGUUCUCAUUACAAAGAUGGAGUCGGUGAGAUUACUCAUCGCUCUCGCGGCUCAGGAAUCAUGGAAGAUACAUCACAUGGAUGUAAACUCCGCGUUUUUGAACGGCGAGAUAGAAGGAGAUGUGUAUGUGAAUCAACCGCCGGGUUUCAUCAAAGAGGGAGAAGAGCACAAGGUACUGAAGUUACACAAAAUCUUGUAUGGGCUAUGGCAAGGACCUCGGGAGUGGAACAUCAAACUUGAUCGGACAUUGAUUUUUCUUGGAUUUGAGAAAGCCCCACUAGAGCAUGCAAUGUACAAGAGAGGUGAAGGAAGGGAUCGUCUACUAGUUGGCAUCUACGUCGACGACCUAUUGAUUACUGGAGCAGAUGAAGAGGUGAUUGCAAAGUUCAAGUUACAAAUGAAGGAGAUUUUCAAGAGGGAUGAUCUAGGUCUUUUGUGCUUCUACCCCAGGAUAGAGGUACAUCAAAAGACAGAGGAGAUCACACUAUGCCAGGAGGCAUACACAAGGAAGAUACUUGAAAACUGUGGCAUGAAAGGUUGCAAUCUAAUUGAAGCUUCAAUGAAACCUCGUCUUGAACUGAGCAAGAAGAGUAAAGCACCCGCAGUUGAUGCAAUAGAGUAUAUUGCAGCUGCCACUGCGAUGUGUCAAGGUGUGUGGCUAGGAAGGCUGCACGGUGAUCUCAUGGAUCGAGAUCCGGAACAAGUGGUGCUCAAUGUUGAUGGAAAGUCUACAACUUUUCUACGCGAAGAACCAGUGCGGCAUGAUAGGAGCAAGCACAUUGAUACGGUGUAUCACUACAUAAAGGACUGCGUGGAAGAAGGUAAGAUGAAGGUCAACUACGUUUGCACCGAUGAUCAGAUGGCGGAUAUCCUGACCAAGAGUUUGGACCGAGAGAAGAUCUUGGAGAUGAGAAGAAGAAUCGGCGUCAGAGCUAUGACAUGA